CUUGAACGCUGGCGGCAUGCUUUACACAUGCAAGUCGAACGGCAGCGCGGGCUUCGGCCUGGCGGCGAGUGGCGAACGGGUGAGUAAUGCAUCGGAACGUGCCCAGUAGUGGGGGAUAGCUCGGCGAAAGCCGGAUUAAUACCGCAUACGACCUGAGGGUGAAAGCGGGGGACCGAAAGGCCUCGCGCUAUUGGAGCGGCCGAUGUCGGAUUAGCUAGUUGGUGGGGUAAAGGCUUACCAAGGCGACGAUCCGUAGCUGGUCUGAGAGGACGACCAGCCACACUGGGACUGAGACACGGCCCAGACUCCUACGGGAGGCAGCAGUGGGGAAUUUUGGACAAUGGGGGCAACCCUGAUCCAGCCAUGCCGCGUGCGGGAAGAAGGCCUUCGGGUUGUAAACCGCUUUUGUUCGGGAAGAAAUCCUCUGGGCUAAUACCCCGGGGGGAUGACGGUACCGGAAGAAUAAGCACCGGCUAACUACGUG
RNAcentral lists this ribosomal RNA (484 nucleotides) under uncultured bacterium. RNAcentral's name for it is "partial 16S ribosomal RNA". It matches the Rfam family "Bacterial small subunit ribosomal RNA", at positions 29 to 507 of the family's 1533-position model. The record is from RNAcentral.